CUAGGAUGCUGGAAUGCACUUAGUCUGAAAACUCCGGUGCCUAAGGAUGAAUCUGCGGACUAUCAGGUUGUAGUCAGGGUAAUGACCUGACUAGCCUAUGACGGAUAUGGGUUGUGGGAGCAAUAACCCAGAGAUGAUAUCUGAGACACGAUAUCAGGCCCUACGGGGCGCAGCAGGCGCGAAAACUUCGCAAUGUGCGAAAGCACGACGAGGGAAUCCCAAGUGCUUGCACGUAAGUGUAAGCUGUUUCUCUGUUUAAAACGCAGAGAGAGUAAGGGCUGGGUAAGACGGGUGCCAGCCGCCGCGGUAAUACCUGCAGCUCAAGUGGUGGCCGUUAUUAUUGGGCCUAAAACGUCCGUAGCCGGUUUAUUAAAUGCCUGGGUAAAUCGGACCGCUUAACGGUUCGAAUUCCGGGUAGACUGAUAAACUUGAGACCGGGAGAAGUUAGAGGUACUCCUGGGGUAGAGGUGAAAUUCUGUAAUCCUAGGGGGACCACCAGUGGCGAAAGCGUCUAACUAGAACGGGUCUGACGGUGAGGGACGAAGCCCUGGGGCGCAAACGGGAUUAGAUACCCCGGUAGUCCAGGGUGUAAACGCUGCUUGCUUGAUGUUAGUCGGGCUCCGAGCCCGAUUAGUGUCGGAGAGAAGUUGUUAAGCAAGCUGCCUGGGAAGUACGGUCGC
RNAcentral lists this ribosomal RNA (680 nucleotides) under uncultured archaeon. RNAcentral's name for it is "bacterial SSU rRNA". It matches the Rfam family "Archaeal small subunit ribosomal RNA", at positions 162 to 844 of the family's 1478-position model. The record is from RNAcentral.